Long non-coding RNA from Cicer arietinum (chickpea), 813 nucleotides. RefSeq lists it as uncharacterized. Lineage: Eukaryota; Viridiplantae; Streptophyta; Magnoliopsida; Fabales; Fabaceae. The record is from RefSeq and is a predicted model, not a curated record.
CCUCCUGUACUUUAUAGUUUUAAUUUUGUAAAAAACUCGCACAUAUUAUUGGUCAAAGUGGAUUUUCUCCAUUAAAAUCCGGACAAAUUCCGAUGCAUGGAAAGAUAAAAAUUGUGUUGUGAUGCUUAACCAGAUUCUUACUUUGGCAACAAAAUUCCAUUUAAAUAAUAAAUUAAAUAAUCGCAUCCAUCAAAAGUAUAGAGAUUCUUCUUCCUUUUACCAACUUACUAACAGAUAUGGUUCACAAGUGUGUGUAUAUUAUCUUUACAUCAGCAUCUUCCUUCAUUAACAGAGAAUGAUAAAAUUGUAAACAGAGUGAACAAUGGCAAAAAAAUAUACUUCCACUAGAGAUAAUUUGUGCAUAAAAGAAAUUAAAAUUGAUCCACUCCUGCCUGUUAUGCAAUGAAACCUCUGAUCAACUAUUCAUGUACUGCAACAUUGUUAAAUUAGCGUGCAUGGUUCUCCUCUAGUCUUUCAGGUUCCGGAUAUUGGCUCGGCAACUCUGGAUUUUGCAGGAGGCUAUACUAUGUAUGGAUGCAUUGUUAAAAAUCAUUUUGGUUCUAUAGUUUUUUAUGCUUGUAGGAAAUAUCUCAUCUCAACAAACUCCACCUUAGAUGAAGCUCUUUGAAUUUGAUGAUGUCUCCAACUUGCUAAGGAUAAAAAACUUGAGGAAAUUAUUGUCCAAUUGAUGCUCUUGUGUUGUUUUGUUUGUAUGUAUUAGAAUUGUUAUGGAUUGCCAACUUCUCAUGAGUACUUUUAAGAAGGCAUCAUCUAUUAACUUUAUAAAAUAAAAAACCUUAAUACUUUAGCUCA